This is a long non-coding RNA of Callorhinus ursinus (northern fur seal), 912 nucleotides long. RefSeq lists it as uncharacterized. Lineage: Eukaryota; Metazoa; Chordata; Mammalia; Carnivora; Otariidae. The record is from RefSeq and is a predicted model, not a curated record.
GAAGAGCUGGGUUCCGCGGCUGCAGGCUUGCCAGGCCCUGCCCCGUCCUCCCUGGGCUGCAUGCCACGGCAGGCCGCCCGGGUGCCCUGAGCCGGGACCUCGCCUGUGAAGGGGCCACCGUUGGCAGGUCAGGCAGAUGGAGAACAUGAUGUGUAAGGUGAAGUGACGGGGCCAAGGUGGCAGAGUAGAGCGGGGCCUGGAGCUGGGUCCUCUCUCCCGCAUCCAUCCCACGGCCUCUACUCUGGCCACACGGAAGGGGGCUUCAGGGUCUGAGUCUGCAGGACCUAGUUUUGGCUGAGAUGUAUCCUCGGAGAACGAACCCCUCCUGAAGUCGCAUGCAGCCGUCUGUUUCAUGAUCCUGUCUCUCUGGCUUCAGAGCCUCAGAUGAUGGUUUACUGUGCCUUGUCCACUUCCGAGAGCUGCACCCAGGCUGACCUUACCCACCGGAAGCGCUUGGUAAAUCCUGUGGAAGGAGUCGGUGGAUUCAACGCCAGGUUCACGAAGCUUGCCAUGGGUUAAAGAGGUGCAGGGUGGGGAAGCCCAGCUGGGCGGUGGACCCUGAGGAUCUGCCAGGAAGACGUCCAGACACAGAAGGAGGAAGGCCUCCGUACUUCAUGUGAUCCGUCCCCCUGACAGCGGAGCGUUGCAGCUUCUGGAGUCCCAGACGCAGCUCAUCCUGAGGGCGCCUCGAGGAUCUCGUAAGAUGGAGCCUGAUGCAGGACUCGAUCCCGGGACUCCAGGAUUACGACCCGAGCCAAAGGCAGUCGCCCAAACGGCGCUGCCCAGGAGCCCCUACAUGUAUCUUUCAACAUUGAUAUUCUCUGUAUAUCUAUCCCUGGAAUAUUGUCCUUUCUUCCUCCUUUUUUUCUGGUUUUAGACAUAAAAAAGUCUGUUACACACACACCCACACAC